UUCCUGGUGGCUCAAACAGUAAAGAAUCUGCCUGCAAUGCAGGAGACCCAGGUUCAAUCCCUGGGUGGGGAA
RNAcentral lists this transfer RNA (72 nucleotides) under Bos taurus (domestic cattle). It matches the Rfam family "tRNA". From Rfam's summary of the family: Transfer RNA (tRNA) molecules are approximately 80 nucleotides in length. Their secondary structure includes four short double-helical elements and three loops (D, anti-codon, and T loops). The record is from Rfam by way of RNAcentral. Lineage: Eukaryota; Metazoa; Chordata; Mammalia; Artiodactyla; Bovidae. RNAcentral also lists the same sequence under 5 other names.